UACGUAGGGGGCAAGCGUUGUCCGGAAUCAUUGGGCGUAAAGAGCGUGUAGGCGGCCUUCUAAGUCGGACGUGAAAGCCCCAGGCUUAACCUGGGAACUGCGUCCGAUACUGGGAGGCUUGGAUUCGGGAGAGGGAUGUGGAAUUCCAGGUGUAGCGGUGAAAUGCGUAGAUAUCUGGAGGAACACCGGUGGCGAAGGCGGCAUCCUGGACCGAGAUCGACGCUGAGGCGCGAAAGCUAGGGGAGCAAACGGG
RNAcentral lists this ribosomal RNA (253 nucleotides) under uncultured bacterium. Its description in RNAcentral is "partial 16S ribosomal RNA". It matches the Rfam family "Bacterial small subunit ribosomal RNA", at positions 524 to 776 of the family's 1533-position model. The record is from RNAcentral.